UCGUAGAUGUCAACCGAGUA
Molecule: non-coding RNA, 20 nt
Filed under: Arabidopsis thaliana (thale cress)
Lineage: Eukaryota; Viridiplantae; Streptophyta; Magnoliopsida; Brassicales; Brassicaceae
Source: RNAcentral